UACAGAGGUCUCAAGCGUUGUUCGGAUUCAUUGGGCGUAAAGGGUGCGUAGGCGGCGCGGUAAGUCGGGUGUGAAUCUCGGAGCUUAACUCCGAAACUGCAUUCGAUACUGCCGUGCUUGAGGACUGGAGAGGAGACGUGGAAUUUACGGUGUAGCGGUGAAAUGCGUAGAUAUCGUAAGGAAGACCAGUGGCGAAGGCGGGUCGUCU
RNAcentral lists this ribosomal RNA (208 nucleotides) under uncultured bacterium. RNAcentral's name for it is "partial 16S ribosomal RNA". It matches the Rfam family "Bacterial small subunit ribosomal RNA", at positions 524 to 730 of the family's 1533-position model. The record is from RNAcentral.